CCUGUGCGUCCACUGCCUAUAGCGCCACGUCCUGUGGCAUCGGCUGUAUUAGCACGUCCUGUGCG
Molecule: small RNA, 65 nt
Filed under: Halalkalibacterium halodurans C-125
Lineage: Bacteria; Bacillati; Bacillota; Bacilli; Caryophanales; Bacillaceae
Description: Bacillus halodurans C-125 Bacillaceae-1 RNA
Rfam family: Bacillaceae-1 RNA (bases 11-65)
Source: Rfam by way of RNAcentral